UACGGAGGGAGCUAGCGUUGUUCGGAAAUACUGGGCGUAAAGCGUACGUAGGCGGCUUUGUAAGUUAGAGGUGAAAGCCCGGGGCUCAACUCCGGAAUUGCCUUUAAGACUGCAUCGCUUGAAUCAUGGAGAGGUUAGUGGAAUUCCGAGUGUAGAGGUGAAAUUCGUAGAUAUUCGGAAGAACACCAGUGGCGAAGGCGACUAACUGGACAUGUAUUGACGCUGAGGUACGAAAGCGUGGGGAGCAAACAGG
RNAcentral lists this ribosomal RNA (253 nucleotides) under uncultured bacterium. RNAcentral's name for it is "partial 16S ribosomal RNA". It matches the Rfam family "Bacterial small subunit ribosomal RNA", at positions 524 to 776 of the family's 1533-position model. The record is from RNAcentral.